RNAcentral lists this ribosomal RNA (299 nucleotides) under uncultured Flavobacterium sp. RNAcentral's name for it is "partial 16S ribosomal RNA". It matches the Rfam family "Bacterial small subunit ribosomal RNA", at positions 1 to 309 of the family's 1533-position model. Lineage: Bacteria; Pseudomonadati; Bacteroidota; Flavobacteriia; Flavobacteriales; Flavobacteriaceae. The record is from RNAcentral.
CGACGAGUUUGAUCCUGGCUCAGGAUGAACGCUAGCGGCAGGCUUAACACAUGCAAGUCGAGGGGUAUAGUAGCAAUACUAGAGACCGGCGCACGGGUGCGUAACGCGUAUGCAAUCUACCUUUUGCAGAGGGAUAGCCCAGAGAAAUUUGGAUUAAUACCUCAUAGUAUAUAGAGUUGGCAUCAACACUAUAUUAAAGUCACAACGGCAAAAGAUGAGCAUGCGUCCCAUUAGCUAGUUGGUAAGGUAACGGCUUACCAAGGCUACGAUGGGUAGGGGUCCUGAGAGGGAGAUCCCCC